This 277-nucleotide RNase P RNA is filed under the name Nanobdellota archaeon. RNAcentral's name for it is "RNase P RNA component". It matches the Rfam family "Archaeal RNase P". From Rfam's summary of the family: Ribonuclease P (RNase P) is a ubiquitous endoribonuclease, found in archaea, bacteria and eukarya as well as chloroplasts and mitochondria. The record is from RNAcentral. Lineage: Archaea; Nanobdellati; Nanobdellota.
GUGAGUUGGGAAGACAGCAACCCGAGUUUUAUACACGGAGGAAGUUCUGCCCACCAAUAAAACAUCAUUCCAGUUGGAAUAAACUUGAGAGAGUUUAGGUUGUUCAAGAAGGCGACAUGUUUUCAAAGAACGUUUAACCGAUGUGGUGCAAGGUCAAGUAGGCUCUGAUGAUGAAAGAGGAGCGGGUAGACCGCUUAGACAAAUGCUGUCAAGCAAUCAAAUGAUCUUUCAACUGAAAGUAAUUUGCUUCACAAAAGGCAGACUAAUCCCAACACAC